GAUGAACGCUAGCGGGAGGCCUAACACAUGCAAGCCGAGCGGUAUUGUUUCUUCGGAAAUGAGAGAGCGGCGUACGGGUGCGUAACACGUGUGCAACCUGCCUUUAUCGGGGGGAUAGCCUUUCGAAAGGAAGAUUAAUACACCAUAAUAUAUUGAACGGCAUCGUCUAAUAUUGAAAGCUCCGGCGGAUAGAGAUGGGCACGCGCAAGAUUAGCUAGUUGGAGAGGUAACGGCUCACCAAGGCGAUGAUCUUUAGGGGGCCUGAGAGGGUGAUCCCCCACACUGGUACUGAGACACGGACCAGACUCCUACGGGAGGCAGCAGUGAGGAAUAUUGGUCAAUGGGUGCAAGCCUGAACCAGCCAUCCCGCGUGAAGGACGACUGCCCUAUGGGUUGUAAACUUCUUUUGUAUAGGGAUAAACCUACCCUCGUGAGGGUAGCUGAAGGUACUAUACGAAUAAGCACCGGCUAACUCCGUGCCAGCCGCCGCCGUAA
RNAcentral lists this ribosomal RNA (495 nucleotides) under uncultured bacterium. RNAcentral describes it as "partial 16S ribosomal RNA". It matches the Rfam family "Bacterial small subunit ribosomal RNA", at positions 28 to 523 of the family's 1533-position model. The record is from RNAcentral.